This 1078-nucleotide long non-coding RNA is filed under the name Chrysemys picta bellii (western painted turtle). RNAcentral describes it as "lncRNA (ENSCPBG00000006055.1)". Lineage: Eukaryota; Metazoa; Chordata; Testudines; Emydidae. The record is from RNAcentral.
CUUUAUUUAUACCAUUUAAACAUUAAGAUCUACAGUAUACUCCAUCAAGAUGGGGGGACUUCAACUAUCCGGAUAUAUGUUGGGAAAAUAACACAGCGGGGCACAGACUAUCAAACAAAUUCUUGGAAUGCAUUGCAGACAACUUUUUAUUUCAGAAGGUUGAAAAAGCUACUAGGGGGGAAGAUGUUCUAGACUUGAUUUUAACAAAUAGGGAGGAACUCGUUGAGAAUUUGAAAGUAGAAGGCAGCUUGGGUGAAAGUGAUCAUGAAAUCAUAGAGUUUGAAAUUCUAAGGAAGGGUAGAAGGGAGAACAGCAAAAUAGAGACAAUGGAUUUCAGGAAGGCAGAUUUUGGUAAGUCAGAGAGCUGAUAGGUAAGGUCCCAUGGGAAUCAAGACUGAGGGGAAAAACAACUGAGGAGAGUUGGCAGUUUUUCAAAGGGACACUAUUAAGGGCCCAAAAGCAAGCUAUUCCGCUGGUUAGGAAAGAUAGAAAAUGUGGCAAAAGACCACCUUGGCUUAACCACGAGAUCUUGCAUGAUCUAAAAAAUAAAAAGGAGUCAUAUAAAAAAUGGAAACUAGGACAUAUUACAAAGGAUGAAUAUAGGCAAACAACACAGGAAUGCAGGGGCAGGAUUAGAAAGGCAAAGGCACAAAAUGAGCUCAAACUAGCUACAAGAAUAAAGGGAAACAAGAAGACUUUUUAUCAAUACAAUAGAAGCAAGAGGAAGACCAAAGACCGGGUAGGCCCACUGCUUAGUGAAGAGGGAGAAACAGUAACAGGAAACUUGGAAAUGGCAGAGAUGCUUAAUGACUUCUUUGUUUUGGUCUUCACCGAGAAGUCUGAAGGAAUUCCUAACAUAGUGAAUGCUAAUGGGAAGGGGGUAGGUUUAGCAGAUAAAAUAAAAAAAGAACAAGUUAAAAAUCACUUAGAAAAGUUAGAUGCCUGCAAGUCAGGGCCUGAUGAAAUGCAUCCUAGAAUACCCAAGGAGCUAAUAGAGGAGGUAUCUGAGCCUCUAGCUAUUAUCUUUGGAAAAUCAUGGGAGACGGGAGAGAUUCCUGAAGACUGGAAAAAGGCAAAU